CGCUUUCAGCUCUAAUUGAAAGUACAGCCUGCUCAAUGAUCAUUUAAAUAGCCGCAGAAUAUUUACUGUGCUAAGGUAGCACAAUCAUUUGCCUUAUAAUUUAAGGAUAGUAUGAAAGGCCACACGUAUUUUACAUUGUAUCUAUUCUUCCUAAUAAAACUAAACUAAAAGUAAAAAUGCUUUUAAUCUAAAGAAAGACGACAAGACCCUGUCGAACUUCACAUAAGUUCAGCUGGGGCGGCUAUUUAAUACAAACUUAAACUCUCACCCUCCAAAGAACCUUUAUUACAGAUUCAUGAACAAGUUACCGCAGGGAUAACAGCAUUAUUACUUUUUGAAGCUCUUAUUUAAAAAGUAGCUUGUGACCUCGAUGUUGAAUAAGAACCCUAAUUCAAGCAAAAAUAAAUUAAGGAAGUCUGUUCGACUUUUAAUCUCUUACA
This 440-nucleotide ribosomal RNA is filed under the name Ariadna boesenbergi. RNAcentral's name for it is "partial 16S ribosomal RNA". It matches the Rfam family "Bacterial large subunit ribosomal RNA", at positions 1831 to 2600 of the family's 2925-position model. The record is from RNAcentral. Lineage: Eukaryota; Metazoa; Arthropoda; Arachnida; Araneae; Segestriidae.